Molecule: RNA transcript, 1822 nt
Organism: Phycodurus eques (leafy seadragon)
Lineage: Eukaryota; Metazoa; Chordata; Actinopteri; Syngnathiformes; Syngnathidae
Gene: cenpx
Gene name: centromere protein X
Exons: 7
Source: RefSeq, a predicted model, not a curated record
UCUCUCAAAAGCGUCAACAACAUGGCGGAAAGGGACGCAGAAGUUACGUUCAAGAAGGAGACGGUGGGCAAACUUCUGUCCAGCUUCUUCAAGGAGGACAAAAGCAGAUUAAGUGUUGAGGCCACACUGCUCAUGGCGGAGAUGCUGAAAAUAUUCGUCCAAGAGGCAGCCGUGCGCUCGCAGAAACAAGCCGAAAGCGAGGACUGCGACCGAGUGGACAUUGAGCACUUUGAAAAGAUCCUGCCGCAGCUGCUGCUGGACUUCUAGCUGCCACAAGAUGGAGCCAGAUUGUUUCAUGACUGAAGACUGCGAUGCAUUAGCGCUGGGGAGACAAGAGGCCCCCCCCACCACCUCACCGACCCUCCUCGUGGGCACGCCGCCGUCGGACCGCGGCGGAACGCAUUCCACAACAGUCGCCUGAGAGCUCGCGUGCGUGAAGGGAAUGCGCAUCUAUCGGCUGUGACACACGGGGGGUGUUGGGGGCGUCGCCCGGAGGCCCGCGGGGCCCCCUCCGAGGGGUCCUGAGCUAGCUGAUCGGAACAUACCCGCCAGCUUCUGGCAUCACCGCUAACUGCUUAUGGCGCUUAGCUGUUAGUCGGAGGCUGGAGAUGGCGCUCCGCUGUGCCGGCUUUGCUCGCCGCGGGUGGCGGAAAAGGAUUCUUCCGGAACCGGCGAUCGGGAGGAAAAAGGCCUCAUAACCAACCCCACACCAGAGGACAAUCACUCAGGAUAAUCAUUUGAGACCUCCGACAACUGGGCCUUUGCAGACGUGGAUCUCCAGCAGGGUAAAUUGUCCAAAUUUGGCAGAUUUUCAGCGUUUGUGUACAUAGUGCUUUAUGAAUAUACGCUAAUUUAUGCCUUUGUUUCAAAGUGCACACUUGAAUUCACCAGACAGACUUCAUGUGCCUCGCCGGGUGCUGCUGUUUUGGUUAGUAGCAGAGUUCAAAUGCCCUCAGUAGUUAACUAAUGUCCACACAUGAACAAUAGCGUCUAUGUACUGAGAUAAUUACAGUAACCAAGGGACUAAGUAACCAACUGGCCGACCCACCGAUCAACUACUUAAUAACCGACCAUCUGAACAACCACCUGACUUAGUCCCUCAAAAAUGCGGAUCGUACUUUUCAGCAUCCAAACCUACCAAUUAUUUUUCAGUCUAUUGAAUUUAUGAGCUGUCAGAGGGCGGUCGGAGUGUAAAGUGUAGCUUCCUAUCUUGGAGUUGGAAGGGCAAACAAGCUUGUCUGAAGUUCCUUCUUCACAACAUGUUGACUGUCUGUCCUCAAAGCGGUCAAGAAAGGGCGGGGGUCGUCGCCGGAACUCUAAAUUAGCCGUGGUGAGUCAACAGGACAGCUUUCAUGCAGGAGAGGUCAGGAUGUAAGAGUUCAUAGGUCAGGAUGCAGUUUUGGUCCUUUGUCUUUUAACAGCUUCCUGUGUGCCGCGUUGCGCUAAUCACUCACUCAAGACUUUUACCCUCAACGUUUUGGGGGAAGUCCAAAUUUGACCAGCUUUUUGGGAGUAAUGUUGAAAUAUGUUUUGGUGUGUCGCGACUGCGCAGCAGAGGUCAACUCUUCACACUCCCUUCGCUAACCGACUUGACAAUGGCGCCGGUGUUUGUGCUCUCGUCCACACUUUGAAGGUGCACCUGUUUCUCCACGUGUCACCCAGGCCAAGACAAAGCGUCGCUGGAGGUAAGGCGACACCCUCCCGCUCAGCGCAUGGUGUUUGUUCCCAAGCAAUCUCUUGUUUUUGACAGACGAGAAAUGUGCAGAAAAUGAAUAUUAGGAAGAAAUAUCAAGAAUCGAGGCUAACCCAAACCACAAAAAAA